CCUGAUGCCGCGAGCAGUGUCUAAGUAGGCUAAACCUGGUAGAUAGCCGUCAUCUUUGGCUGAGAGAAGCUCCAUUAAAAGAUCUCCUAGCUCUCUUAAUUUGAGGUUGUCUUUACCUGAAAUCCUGGGAAAACUGUCUAACUUCUUAAACAAUGCACUUUCGAUUACUUCAGGUGAGCUGUAGCAUUCAUCAAGUCUGUUCCAGACCAUUUUCAAGGCUGUGUCUGGGUUUCCUAUGUGAACUGCCCUGAGACGUCUUACGUAUUCUGAAGAUUCUUUACCAAGCCACUUUGACAACAAGUCUAGCUCCUCACUGGCCGUAAGACCCAAGUCUUUGAUUGUGUUGAUAAAAGAGGACCUCCAGGCUCUGUAACUUUCAGGGUGAUCAUCAAAGCGUGUUAAACCACUGCUCACCAGCUCACGACGUGCAAGAUAUUUCACUAGGUCCAUCAUGCCUGAAGUUUCUGAGUGUUGUGGCAAAGAUCUGGAUACACCGCUGCACUUAGCCUGUUGCUGCCAUUUAUUGCUGACUGGUAUUUCUAUUGACUCUUUUUUCAUGUUUCUUGGGAGUUUUACUUGUUGCAGUUUUGGCACUCUUAGAGAUGGAGAUGUAGAACAUGCAUCAAGUACGACAUACUGGUCAUCAUUCACAUGCACUAUAUUUGGUUCAGUUUGAGAGGUAAACUGGUUCUGAUCCGUCACUUGGUCUGGUUCAGAUUUGCAAUCAUGAGACUGAUCAGCGGUUAAGUCGGCCUGCUCACUGAGAUAUGUAGCUUGAUCCCUGACAUAAUCACAAACACGUUUUUUUGUGCUUUGUGCUGAUGAAGAGUGACUUUUCCUUUCAUAUGGCUCCUCAUCCUCAAACUCUGCUGCUGCUUCUAAUAUAUCCGCUUCUGCACUAGCAGCUGCAGCCUCUUUUUCCAGAUGUAGGGCUUCCAAAUUAGCUUGUAGUCUGGCUGAGUCCACUUUAAUUGCAAUUUCUCUCUCUGAAAAGGUAACUCGUGCACCAACACCAACUGAAGAUCUUGAUGAUCUUGAAGUUCUUAUGGAACUUUUAGAGGAUGUGUCAGAUGCUCUGUUACUUUUACUUUGUAUCUU
Cyprinus carpio carpio is the source of this 1098-nucleotide long non-coding RNA. The record is from Ensembl. NCBI's taxonomy places the organism in Eukaryota, Metazoa, Chordata, Actinopteri, Cypriniformes, Cyprinidae.